UAUUUAUGAUGAAUAUGAUGAUGAGCAUGUUGAAUUGCCUUUUUUUGCGGGGGUAAAAAAACUAGGCAAUUCGACAUGCUCAUCAUCAUAUUCAUCA
Molecule: microRNA precursor, 97 nt
Filed under: Aegilops tauschii subsp. strangulata
Lineage: Eukaryota; Viridiplantae; Streptophyta; Magnoliopsida; Poales; Poaceae
Description: pre miRNA mir-598
Source: RNAcentral